AGUGAGAUACCUGUUCCUUUGUCCACGGCUCCUGAGAUAUUCAGGGAAGCAUUAACUCCUCAGAAAUC
Molecule: unclassified non-coding RNA, 68 nt
Organism: Mesocricetus auratus (golden hamster)
Lineage: Eukaryota; Metazoa; Chordata; Mammalia; Rodentia; Cricetidae
Source: Ensembl